This 275-nucleotide ribosomal RNA is filed under the name uncultured bacterium. RNAcentral's name for it is "partial 16S ribosomal RNA". It matches the Rfam family "Bacterial small subunit ribosomal RNA", at positions 399 to 691 of the family's 1533-position model. The record is from RNAcentral.
GCGUGAGUGAUGACGGCCUUAGGGUUGUAAAGCUCUUUUCUCCGGGACGAUAAUGACGGUACCGGAGGAAUAAGCCCCGGCUAACUUCGUGCCAGCAGCCGCGGUAAUACGAAGGGGGCUAGCGUUGCUCGGAAUCACUGGGCGUAAAGGGCGCGUAGGCGGCUGAUUUAGUCGAGGGUGAAAGCCCGUGGCUCAACCACGGAAUGGCCUUCGAUACUGGUUGGCUUGAGACCGGAAGAGGACAGCGGAACUGCGAGUGUAGAGGUGAAAUUCGU